UCCGCCCUGGUGUAACGGCAGCACGCCGGCCUUUGGAGCCGUGAGGACUGGGUUCGAAUCCCGGGGGCGGAG
RNAcentral lists this transfer RNA (72 nucleotides) under Beutenbergia cavernae DSM 12333. RNAcentral describes it as "tRNA-Gln (TTG) (tRNA-Gln-TTG-1-1)". It matches the Rfam family "tRNA". Rfam says of the family: Transfer RNA (tRNA) molecules are approximately 80 nucleotides in length. Their secondary structure includes four short double-helical elements and three loops (D, anti-codon, and T loops). Lineage: Bacteria; Bacillati; Actinomycetota; Actinomycetes; Micrococcales; Beutenbergiaceae. The record is from Rfam by way of RNAcentral.